UGGGGAAUAUUGCACAAUGGGCGCAAGCCUGAUGCAGCCAUGCCGCGUGUAUGAAGAAGGCCUUCGGGUUGUAAAGUACUUUCAGCGAGGAGGAAGGUGCUGAGGUUAAUAACCUCAGCAAUUGACGUUACUCGCAGAAGAAGCACCGGCUAACUCCGUG
Molecule: ribosomal RNA, 160 nt
Filed under: uncultured bacterium
Lineage: Bacteria
Description: partial 16S ribosomal RNA
Rfam family: Bacterial small subunit ribosomal RNA
Source: RNAcentral